This 370-nucleotide long non-coding RNA is filed under the name Vigna radiata. Its description in RNAcentral is "long non-coding RNA (VRAD_LNC004497)". The record is from RNAcentral. Lineage: Eukaryota; Viridiplantae; Streptophyta; Magnoliopsida; Fabales; Fabaceae.
ACACAUCUCUUCUCCUCCACACUAUCACUCUUCAACAACACACAUUUCUUUCCCUCUACACCAUAAUUAUUUUCUAUUAUCUCUCUAAUUUAAUCACUUUUACCAUAUUACCAUUUCCUUCUUCAUAGUCCACCAUCAUCAAACACAUCUCUUCUCCUCUAUAUCACCAUCUUCACAUUCUAAAACUUCCAUUUUCACUUGCAUCUCGAUCAGGCUAUCUCCGCUUUCUCCAUCCAGGUUCUUAUUCGUCCACCUCUUUUUUUAGUAUGAAUUAGUUUGUUAAAGUUUGUUUUUAUUUGCCUUUUAUAUUUCCAUAAUUAUUUUACUAUUUUUUAUUCUACAUUUUCAUUGAUAGCAAAAGCCCACUUGC